GACGAACGCUGGCGGCGUGCUUAACACAUGCAAGUCGAACGGAAAGGCCCUGCUUUUGUGGGGUGCUCGAGUGGCGAACGGGUGAGUAACACGUGAGUAACCUGCCCUUGACUUUGGGAUAACUUCAGGAAACUGGGGCUAAUACCGGAUAGGAGCUCCUGCUGCAUGGUGGGGGUUGGAAAGUUUCGGCGGUUGGGGAUGGACUCGCGGCUUAUCAGCUUGUUGGUGGGGUAGUGGCUUACCAAGGCUUUGACGGGUAGCCGGCCUGUGAGGGUGACCGGCCACAUUGGGACUGAGAUACGGACCAGAAUCCAACGGGAGGCAGCAGUGGGGAAUAUUGCACAAUGGGCGGAAGCCUGAUGAAGCAACGCCGCGUGCGGGAUGACGGCCUUCGGGUUGUAAACCGCUUUCGCCUGUGACGAAGCGUGAGUGACGGUAAUGGGUAAAGAAGCACCGGCUAACUACGUG
RNAcentral lists this ribosomal RNA (468 nucleotides) under uncultured bacterium. Its description in RNAcentral is "partial 16S ribosomal RNA". It matches the Rfam family "Bacterial small subunit ribosomal RNA", at positions 28 to 507 of the family's 1533-position model. The record is from RNAcentral.